ACCCCGCUCGCCGGCGCCGACCCGGAGAUCUACGACCUCCUCGAGCGCGAGAAGCGGCGCCAGCGUCGCGGCAUCGAGCUCAUCGCCUCUGAGAACUUCACCUCCUUCGCCGUCAUGGAGGCGCUCGGCUCCGCGCUCACCAACAAGUACUCCGAGGGCAUGCCCGGCGCCCGCUACUACGGCGGCAACGACGUCAUCGACGAGAUCGAGAACCUCUGCCGCUCCCGCGCGCUCGCCGCCUUCCGCCUCGACCCGGCCUCCUGGGGCGUCAACGUGCAGCCCUACUCGGGCUCCCCCGCCAACUUCGCCGCCUACACUGCCCUGCUCAACCCGCACGACCGGAUCAUGGGCCUCGACCUCCCCUCCGGCGGACACCUCACCCACGGGUACUACACCUCCGGCGGGAAGAAGAUCUCCGCCACCUCGAUCUACUUCGAGAGUCUGCCGUACAAGGUGAGCGCCACCACCGGCUACAUCGACUACGAGAAGCUCGAGGAGAAGGCCCUCGACUUCCGCCCCAAGCUCAUCAUCUGCGGUGGCAGCGCGUACCCGAGGGACUGGGACUACGCCAGGCUCAGAGCCGUCGCUGACAAGGUCGGGGCGCUGCUGCUCUGCGACAUGGCGCACAUCAGUGGGCUCGUUGCCGCGCAGGUAUAAUAAUCGUGAUGAAUUGUUCUCGAUUAGCUAGUUGCUUUCAUGAAAUUUCAUCUCGCAUUCCCGUUGAAAUGGCAAUUAGUUGGAUCUGAAAGAUGUGGUAGUUUGGAUUCUACUUGGGAUCUAAUCGUCCACUGAUUUUUAGGAUUUUUUAUGUGGACGCAUGCUGUCUGUCGUUUUGUGCCUUGUCUUGUUUCAUAUAAAUAGUAAAAAUGUGGCUUGUAAUCGUCGAAAUUGAAAUUUUGCCUGCUUUAGUUUGUCUGAUGAAUGUAUUCCUUUGAUGGUGAUAGAUCUGAUAUUCCGUCUAUUUUGUUUGGGUGUAUUCUUAAUGGAUGUGGUCCUGCUUAGUGGAAGUGCGCUCAGAUACUAACUGAACCAAUUGAAACUAUUGCUGGAGUCAGUCAAAAGAUUGUGAUAAUUUAUUAGAGAACUGUUACAUAGUUGUGCUUGUGCAAAUCACAUAGGGCGUCCUUGUGCACAUUACUGGCAUGCUAAUCAAAUGUGUGCUCAUACAUGUGCAUAUGUUUUAAGUAUUUUCAUGCCUUUUGGUCUACUUUUUUUAUGCAAUAAUCAUGCAUAUAUAGGUAAUGCAAAGUGAAUCUCACAGACAAUCUGCUAUAUUAUGAGGCACACAAAUUUCUAACUCGUUGUACCAGAGGGCUCUUUUCUUUUUGUAUAGACUAGCUAAUGCACUAUUCGAGGGCCAGUGGGCCAUAAUACUUCUUUGAUGUCUUGAAGUUGAUAUUAUUUGUUAGUCCUUUGAUAUCAUUUUUCUUUGAAUUCUUGAAGAGGUCCAAAGAGAUUAUUCACUAUGAAUAUUUAGUUAGUUGAAUAAUCUGUUUCUAUAAAAUCUCAUUAUUUGCCUUCCUCCAUUUCAGGAAGCUGCGAAUCCUUUUGAGUAUUGUGAUGUGGUUACCACUACCACACACAAGUCUCUCCGUGGGCCAAGGGCUGGCAUGAUCUUCUACAGGAAAGGCCCUAAGCCCCCCAAGAAGGGCCAGCCUGAGGGUGCUGUGUAUGACUAUGAAGACAAGAUCAACUUUGCGGUGUUCCCAUCUCUACAAGGUGGUCCUCACAACCACCAGAUUGCUGCACUUGCUGUUGCUCUGCAGCAAACUAUGACACCAGGCUUCAAGGCCUAUGCAAAGCAAGUGAAAGCGAAUGCUGUUGCCAUUGGAAACUAUCUCAUGAGCAAGGGCUACAAGAUGGUGACGGAUGGAACUGAGAACCACCUUGUUCUCUGGGAUCUCCGCCCUCUUGGCUUAACUGGUAUGCAAAUUAGCAAUCUAAUUGCACUUCGUUUUCUAGAGGAUGUCAUAACUUGUUCUAAUGUUGGCUUAUGUCUGCAGGAAACAAGGUUGAAAAGCUCUGUGACCUUUGCCACAUUACAUUGAACAAGAAUGCUGUCUUUGGUGACAGCAGUGCAUUGUCUCCGGGUGGUGUCCGCAUUGGUCAGUAUCAUUAUAAUUAUUCGUACUUCUGUUAUGGUGCAACCCUCAAGCCUCAAUAAAUUAUUACAGCAUUGUUAUUCAUAAAAUUUUGGUAGCCCCUCUUCUUAAUGAAAAGGUAAUAUGAUUAAAGUUUUUUUAGGUGUGUUUGACCCUAGUGUGCCCAUAGUUGGCAAGCCAAAAUUUGGCUACUUUGACUAACUUUGUCCACCAUUUUGGUUGGGUGCCAAAAUUUGGGUAUGCAACAGUCUCAUUUGGCUGCCUAGUUCAUUUUUUUGGCCAAUAGGCCAAAAUCUUGGCCACCAGAUUGAUGGCCCUGAUUCUGGCUUGCCAAUGAUUUGUCCUCCCCAUUCCCCAUAGUAAAUUUGUUCAUAAACCAAACAGCUCCAAAAUGAUUUAGGAAAGUGGUAUACUUAUAUUUUUGGACAGAUGCCUGAUUUACAUGCCUUCUUAAAUUCUGCAUUGCAAGUGUAUUGUACUGGACCAUUGUACACUGGUAACCGUUGUCCAAAAUCCAUAUGGAGUGUUUGGUACUUGUGCCUUUGCUUGGUCCUUGUUCCAUGUGAAGGGUGACUAUACUCACCUAUGAACCAUUCAAUCUCUUUAAUUAUUUCAACUAUGUUAAUAGUUUUGGUUCCAUUUCACUUGACUCGCUGUCACAUUUUUCUACACAGAAGUGCUGUACUCUAGCAAAUGUUAAUGAGUUGGUCAUUAGAGAUACAAACAUCGCUUUGUUUGUGUCAUAACCUCCAGGGCUUACAUAUGUGAUCCAAGACUUGUGCUUGGCACUUAAAAUCCUGUAUCGUCCUACAGAGCUUUACCCUGAAAAUGAUGUUAACACUUAACACAGCUAAGAACUCUACUGCGAAAGAAUGUCAGACAAUAAAAUAUACCGCACCCCAUUCUUUCGUGUAGAACAUUGGUUCAUGCAUACAUGAUGCUACAACUUUACUGGAAUGCUUAAACGAUAUUUCUCAUGUACUGUGGGUAUGGUUUUCAGGUGCCCCGGCAAUGACCUCGAGGGGUCUGGUGGAGAAAGACUUUGAGCAGAUUGGCGAGUUCCUCCACCGGGCGGUGACCAUCUGCCUGAACAUCCAGAAGGAGCAUGGCAAGCUCCUCAAGGACUUCAACAAGGGCCUGGUGAACAACAAGGACAUCGAGAACCUCAAGGCUGAGGUGGAGAAGUUUGCUGACUCCUUCGACAUGCCUGGGUUCACGCUUGAGAGCAUGAAGU
This 3336-nucleotide long non-coding RNA is filed under the name Setaria viridis. RNAcentral describes it as "long non-coding RNA (SVIR_LNC009437)". The record is from RNAcentral. Lineage: Eukaryota; Viridiplantae; Streptophyta; Magnoliopsida; Poales; Poaceae.